GACUCCUGAGUAGGAUGGGGAUUUGGAGAAUUUUUAUAUCUAGCUGGAGGAUUGUCUGUGCACCAAUCAGCACUCCUUAUCUAGCUAAUCUGGUGGGGACUUGGAGAACUUUUAUGUCUAGCUAGAGGAUCGUAAAUGCACCAAUCAGCACCCUGUCAAAACGGUCCAAUCAGCGCUCUGUAAAGUGGACCAAUCAGCUCUCUGUAAGAUGGACCAAUCAGCAGGACGUGGGUGGAGCCAGAUAAGGGAAUAAAAGUAGGCUGCCUGCGCCACCAACGGGAACAGUCUCGGGUACCCUUUGCUGUGUUAGAGGCUUUGUUCUUUAGCUCUUUGUGAUAAGUCUUGUUGCUUCUAGCUGUUUGGGUGAUGCUGCCUUUAAGAGCUGUAACACUCACUGUGAAAGUCUACAGCUUCACUUCUGAAGCUAACAAUACCAUGAACCCACCGGAAGGAAGAAGCUCCAGACACACCUGAAUGAAGGAACAAACUGCGGACAUACCAUGUUUAAGAACUGUAACACUCACUGCGAGGGUCUGUGGCAUCAUUUUUGAAGUCAGCAAGACCAAGAGCCCACCAAUUCCAGACAAAGUAAUACUUAUGUAAUACUUAAGGUAUCUCUGUCUGAGAAGCGUGUAUCGCAGAUGUUAACAGUCCUAAAUCAAAUGUAACUUCCACUGCAAAUGGUCCCUCAGGGAAAGCGUCUGUUAAUUCAACUUUUUAAAGGCCCUAAACUUCCCGAACUGUAAAGGACUGCUUUAGAUUUAUACCCAACAAGAUCCUACCAUGAAAUUCCCCUAGUAUUUUAAAAUACCACUCAAAUGUUUCUCAUCCAGUUAAUGUAGCUUAAUUAUUUAAAGCAAGGAACUGAAAAUGCCUAGAUGGGUCAGCACAAUCCCAUAAACAUAGAAGUUUGGUCCUGGCCUUUUUACGAAUUCUUAGUAAAGUUACAGGUGCAAGCAUCCCCGCCCCAGUGAGAAUGCUCUCUAGAUCACCUGGAUCAAAAGGAGCAGGCAUCAAGCACGCGUAAACACCGUUCAAAACACUUUGCUCAGCCACACUCCCACGGGAAACAGCAGUGAUAAAUUAUGCUACAUAAACUGAAGUGGAACUCUGACUGCCUUGAGAGCUCAACAAAAUGCAUCCCACCAUCCAUUGCUGCUGCAUCAGGGUAUUAAAAAGAGAGACAGAAGGAAGAGGCGAGAGCAGCACAAGUUCAACAGUGUGAGGGACUCGGACACAAUGGGAGGGACAAAGAAAGAAAUGUCUGAAUGUCAUUGAAAGAACAGACAAUGAAGGCAUAUGUAAGAGGCCUGCUAAAGCUUCGGGACCUCAGAAGCCUAUUUGUAAGAACUACAGUUUAGAAUAGGGAACUUGCAAUAGAAUGCCUGACCUUUAUUUCCCUACCUGUCUCGAACUUGUCAAAACCUUUGAUUUUUCUAUGAACAUGAAUUACUGCUACAAUAUUCAGUUGAACUACAUACGUUUCUCAAAGCAGUAAUACAAUGCUACAGCAUAGCUUAACAUUGUUUAAGUAAUAUGGUUUGCUUAUAUUUAAGUCAUUUCUAAGGAACCCAUGCAAACACAGUCAGGAGGUCUAUUUCUGAUGUAUUUCCAAGGCUAAAACCAAAAAAUGUUGUUAAUGCAUAAACAGUCAAAAAAAAUCAUGCAUGUGGUUUUACUUCUAUUUCUAAAGAUGAUUGUUGCAUGAGUGCCUCUGCCUUUAUGGAGGGAAAUGUGUAGAUUUUUAACUAGCUCUGUAUUAUAAUGUUUGUGUUUUGAAAAAAAAAAUCAAGUUUCUGCACUAAAAAAUAAAUUCCUAGUCAAAUCUUUAAAAUUAA
Molecule: non-coding RNA, 1838 nt
Organism: Macaca mulatta (Rhesus monkey)
Lineage: Eukaryota; Metazoa; Chordata; Mammalia; Primates; Cercopithecidae
Source: RefSeq, a predicted model, not a curated record